This 76-nucleotide transfer RNA is filed under the name Amphiplicatus sp. RNAcentral describes it as "tRNA-Ile". It matches the Rfam family "tRNA". From Rfam's summary of the family: Transfer RNA (tRNA) molecules are approximately 80 nucleotides in length. Their secondary structure includes four short double-helical elements and three loops (D, anti-codon, and T loops). Further hydrogen bonds mediate the characteristic L-shaped molecular structure. tRNAs have two regions of fundamental functional importance: the anti-codon, which is responsible for specific mRNA codon recognition, and the 3' end, to which the tRNAs corresponding amino acid is attached (by aminoacyl-tRNA synthetases). tRNAs cope with the degeneracy of the genetic code in two manners: having more than one tRNA (with a specific anti-codon) for a particular amino acid; and 'wobble' base-pairing, i.e. permitting non-standard base-pairing at the 3rd anti-codon position. Lineage: Bacteria; Pseudomonadati; Pseudomonadota; Alphaproteobacteria; Parvularculales; Parvularculaceae. RNAcentral also lists the same sequence under 1 other name. The record is from RNAcentral.
GGGCCUGUAGCUCAAUGGUUAGAGCUGGCGGCUCAUAACCGCUAGGUUGGGGGUUCGAAUCCCUCCGGGCCCACCA